This 407-nucleotide ribosomal RNA is filed under the name uncultured bacterium. RNAcentral's name for it is "bacterial SSU rRNA". It matches the Rfam family "Bacterial small subunit ribosomal RNA", at positions 354 to 776 of the family's 1533-position model. The record is from RNAcentral.
GUGAGGAAUUUUCCGCAAUGGGCGAAAGCCUGACGGAGCAAUGCCGCGUGGAGGAGGAAGGCCCGAGGGUUGUAAACUCCUUUUCUCAGAAAAGAAGAUCUGACGGUAUCUGAGGAAUAAGCAUCGGCUAACUCCGUGCCAGCAGCCGCGGUAAGACGGAGGAUGCAAGCGUUAUCCGGAAUGAUUGGGCGUAAAGCGUCUGUAGGUGGUUUAUUAAGUCUGCUGUUAAAGCACAGGGCUCAACCCUGUAGAGGCGGUAGAAACUGGUAGGCUUGAGUAUGGUAGGGGUAGAGGGAAUUCCCGAUGUAGUGGUGAAAUGCGUUGAUAUCGGGAAGAACACCAAAGGCGAAAGCACUCUGCUGGGCCAAUACUGACACUGAGAGACGAAAGCUAGGGGAGCAAAUGGG